AAGGAAGUAACAGAAAAUAGUAAGCACUGCUAAUCCUUACGCACCAUGGUUAAAAUCCGUGGCUUCCUUG
This 70-nucleotide transfer RNA is filed under the name Probarbus jullieni (Jullien's golden carp). RNAcentral describes it as "tRNA-Ser". Lineage: Eukaryota; Metazoa; Chordata; Actinopteri; Cypriniformes; Cyprinidae. The record is from RNAcentral.